CUUUUACUGUUUGUUGGGGUUGAUGUGUUCCCAAAUGAGUGCUCUGAACUGGGUAAAUCAUGGCCAAUCUACCUUCCCUGUGGUUGCUGGGACAAUGAGGGGUAUCUGACUCAACACUGACCAAUGAGACAGGAAGACGAGUUUUAAAGAAGAAACCUGAGAUGCCGAAGAAUUGUCAAGAAUUAAACACGAAGUUUUGCAGCUAUAUAGCCUUUAAAUCAAAAGAUAAUCAAGUGCUUCUCAUGUUUCAGAUCAUCAAUGUGAUGAAUACAGUAUUCAAAAUGCAAGCAUGGGAUGCAAUGUCUGUAUAACGUCAGUGAGAGGGUGAAGAAAGAGCUGGGAAAGUCAUCUGAUAGCCUAUGUGUCAUGGUGAAGAACUUAAGAAAGCCCCGUUUUUCUUUCCCCACUUCCUUCCUUCCUCUUCCAACUGUUUUGCUUGCUUGUUUGUUUGUUUGUUUUUGUUUUGUUUCAUGAUUAUAUCUGGAAAGGCAGUGCAUCUGUAAUCACGAUAGAAUUCUCUAUUUCUGGAAUAUAAAUAAAGUCACUUCCAACUUGAUCUCACCCACGGUUAUUCAGAAUUUUAUAGGUCGUUCAUGUGCAAUAAUAGAAUUCUGCUAAAUAAACGUGUUAAAACGA
RNAcentral lists this long non-coding RNA (636 nucleotides) under Rattus norvegicus (Norway rat). RNAcentral describes it as "long non-coding RNA NONRATT016945". Lineage: Eukaryota; Metazoa; Chordata; Mammalia; Rodentia; Muridae. The record is from RNAcentral.